RNAcentral lists this unclassified non-coding RNA (321 nucleotides) under uncultured fungus. RNAcentral's name for it is "partial contains 5.8S ribosomal RNA, internal transcribed spacer 2, and large subunit ribosomal RNA". Lineage: Eukaryota; Fungi. The record is from RNAcentral.
AACGCAUAUUGCGCCCACGGCCUCGGCCAAGGGCAUGCCUGUCUCAGCGUCCGCUCACCCCCUCGCCCACCCUUUCCUUGUUGAAAGCGGUAUGGACGGAUGUGGCCGUCUCGCUUCUCUUCUCGAAAGAAAGGCGGGUCGGCUGAAGCGCAGGGCUCGCGGCGGGACCCCACUCGAUCGGGGCGCCAGCAUGGUAGGUGGCUCACGCUCACAUAUCGGCUGUCGCACCCCACAUCACCGGCGCCCGCCCGCUGCCACAGCAGGAAAAACCCCUUACAAAACUUGGACCUGAGAUCAGACAAGACCACCCGCUGAACUUAA